AGUGAGAAUAGAUUUGUAACUAUGGCAGAUCUUCAUGAAUUUGUUAAUACUCUAAGAGUAAAAAUCUCACGUAUUUUCAACAUGAAUCAUGGAAGUACUAUGCCUACGCCUAUAAAAAAAGUUCAGAGUCUGCGACAAGAAGUUGUGCAGUUGAAAGAAGCAAGUAGAUCAACGUCACAACCAAAUCCAAGGAGUUUGCUUCUACAAAUAUGACAAGGAGAAGGAUUAGUAUGCUUGAGAAGUUUGAUGGAACAAGAUCAAAAUUUCAAGGAUUUUUACAACAAGUCAAGCUCUAUCUAAGGUUGCACC
This 309-nucleotide long non-coding RNA is filed under the name Physcomitrium patens. RNAcentral's name for it is "long non-coding RNA (PPAT_LNC003731)". Lineage: Eukaryota; Viridiplantae; Streptophyta; Bryopsida; Funariales; Funariaceae. The record is from RNAcentral.